Molecule: ribosomal RNA, 301 nt
Filed under: uncultured bacterium
Lineage: Bacteria
Description: partial 16S ribosomal RNA
Rfam family: Bacterial small subunit ribosomal RNA
Source: RNAcentral
CAGUCGCCGCGGGAAUGCGUAGGUGGCAAGCGUUGUCCGGAAUUAUUGGGCGUAAAGCGCGCGCAGGUGGUUUAAUAAGUCAGAUGUGAAAGCCCACGGCUCAACCGUGGAGGGUCAUUGGAAACUGUUAAACUUGAGUGCAGGAGAGAAAAGUGGAAUUCCUAGUGUAGCGGUGAAAUGCGUAGAGAUUAGGAGGAACACCAGUGGCGAAGGCGGCUUUUUGGCCUGUAACUGACACUGAGGCGCGAAAGCGUGGGGAGCAAACAGGAUUAGAGACCCCGGUAGUCCCUGUCUCUUAUAC